Molecule: ribosomal RNA, 351 nt
Filed under: uncultured bacterium
Lineage: Bacteria
Description: bacterial SSU rRNA
Rfam family: Bacterial small subunit ribosomal RNA
Source: RNAcentral
AGAGUUUGAUCAUGGCUCAGGAUGAACGCUAGCUACAGGCUUAACACAUGCAAGUCGAGGGGCAGCGGGAUUGAAGCUUGCUUCAAUUGCCGGCGACCGGCGCACGGGUGAGUAACGCGUAUCCAACCUUCCGUACACUCAGGGAUAGCCUUUCGAAAGAAAGAUUAAUACCUGAUGGUAUGAUGAAAUUGCAUGAUAGCAUCAUUAAAGAUUUAUCGGUGUACGAUGGGGAUGCGUUCCAUUAGGUAGUAGGCGGGGUAACGGCCACCUAGCCUACGAUGGAUAGGGGUUCUGAGGAGGAAGGUCCCCCANAUUGGAACUGGAGACACGGUCCAAACUCCUAGGGAGGCA